RNAcentral lists this long non-coding RNA (367 nucleotides) under Dasypus novemcinctus (nine-banded armadillo). RNAcentral's name for it is "lncRNA (ENSDNOG00000052847.1)". The record is from RNAcentral. Lineage: Eukaryota; Metazoa; Chordata; Mammalia; Cingulata; Dasypodidae.
CGCUGGGCAAUUUGUAAACGGGGCUUUCAAAAUAGGCCAGAGGCUUCCUGGGCUUCCUUCUAGCAUCCAGUUAUCAUUCUCCACUUGUGAUGCACUGAGAAGAAGAAAAUGGGAAAAGGUUCUGAUCCAGGCCUCCUUGGGAGAGAGGCAAGUUUGCUGUCUGCAGGAGCCGGCGAUGUCGGGAGGAUUUUGUUAUUGGUGUGGAAUCUCGGCUCUUCCAAGUUCCUGCUAAGCAUCCCUUUCAGCAUGGUCACCUGGUGACUCUCUCGCUUGAUCACUGCAUCCUGGUAAUACAGCAGGCUGUUAAGGGAGGAGGCAGAGGGAAAAUGAAGGUGGGGUGAGCACAGUGGUGGAGCCACUUCCCUCA